UACGUAGGGUGCGAGCGUUAAUCGGAAUUACUGGGCGUAAAGCGUGCGCAGGCGGUAAGUUAAGUCUGUUGUGAAAGCCCCGGGCUUAACCUGGGAAUUGCAUUGGAAACUAGCGGGCUGGAGUGUGGCAGAGGGGGGUGGAAUUCCACGUGUAGCAGUGAAAUGCGUAGAGAUGUGGAGGAACACCGAUGGCGAAGGCAGCCCCCUGGGCUAACACUGACGCUCAUGCACGAAAGCGUGGGGAGCAAACAGG
This 253-nucleotide ribosomal RNA is filed under the name uncultured bacterium. Its description in RNAcentral is "partial 16S ribosomal RNA". It matches the Rfam family "Bacterial small subunit ribosomal RNA", at positions 524 to 776 of the family's 1533-position model. The record is from RNAcentral.